CGUAGGUGGCAAGCGUUGUCCGAAAUUAUUGGGCGUAAAGCGCGCGCAGGCGGUCCUUUAAGUCUGAUGUGAAAGCCCACGGCUCAACCGUGGAGGGUCAUUGGAAACUGGGGGACUUGAGUACAGAAGAGAAGAGUGGAAUUCCACGUGUAGCGGUGAAAUGCGUAGAGAUGUGGAGGAACACCAGUGGCGAAGGCGACUCUUUGGUCUGUAACUGACGCUGAGGCGCGAAAGCGUGGGGAGCAAACAGGAUUAGAUACCCUGGUAGUCCACGCUGUAAACGAUGAGUGCUAAGUGUUAGAGGGUUUCCGCCCUUUAGUGCUGCAGCUAACGCAUUAAGCACUCCGCCUGGGGAGUACGGCCGCAAGGCUG
Molecule: ribosomal RNA, 372 nt
Filed under: uncultured organism
Description: bacterial SSU rRNA
Rfam family: Bacterial small subunit ribosomal RNA
Source: RNAcentral